Molecule: long non-coding RNA, 2832 nt
Organism: Branchiostoma floridae (Florida lancelet)
Lineage: Eukaryota; Metazoa; Chordata; Leptocardii; Amphioxiformes; Branchiostomatidae
Exons: 4
Source: RefSeq, a predicted model, not a curated record
UGAUGAUGAUGAUGAUGAUGAUGAUGAUGAUGAUGAUGAUGAAUUACAACAAAACAAGAAGGCUGUCUCGACCUAAUUAUAAUAAUUUCGCUUUGUUGCUUCCAGGAUCUUAUUGGUACCAUCGAGCUCGGAUCAACCAGAGGACCUGAAACUAAGUUAAGUUGUUAUUUGUCUUAUGGGGUGUGAAAUGGAAACAUAUUGCAGAGAUGGGCUGGGACUAACUUGUCAUCGGCAUGAUAGGAAGUAAAUAAUUUGUGAGGUUACUUUAACUUUAAAAAAUCUCUUGGUUGAUGGUAAGGCGCUUGAGUGUGUUUUGUUGACAUCUCGAGUGAUGAUGCAGGUAGGGGUUUAUAUCAGGACAUUUUGUAAAUGGAGGCUCCUUUUGCACUCAGGUCUUCAGUCCGUUUAUGUGGUGUACAGGCCUGGUGUGUGGCUGAUUUGGUUUCUGUGACUGUGUCGAUGGCCGGCAUUGUAUUCGGCCAGUUACUGUAAAUUCUGGUUGUUGUUUUUUUAAAACAGGGACUUCCCUGAUUCACCAUCUGUUGUCAUUUCUGUUUUAUGUCGUGGUCAGUGGUUGUCGGGAACCUAGACCAUUACAUAAUCUGCCUUGUGUCGUUAUCUUGGGUCCCGAACCAAGAGAACGACACAGGCCAGAAAGGAAAACAGGUGGCUGAAGAGCCUAUUUAAUAUCAAUAGUAAAAUUUGCUUCAUUUAGAAGCACUAUACUUUUUGGUGUCGACACAGUUACAGAAACCGAAUCAGCUAUUCAAUGGGCUUGUAUAAGGCAGAAACAGACUGAAGCCAUUACUCUCAAAAUUGUAACCAAAACAAACGGCAGCAUUACUUGGAAUUUCAGCAAAGCGCACUCUUGUGCUUUCCAUCAUUCAAGAGAUCAUGAUUAUUCCCGCUAUGUCUAUGUUAAACCAAGAAUUGAAAUUACAAUCACAAAUCAAGUUAACUUCCUGUCAUGCCUCAUUCACAUACUUAGCUAAGCUUACUUUAAGUAUUAGGUAUAGUCUUUACCAUAUUUCUUGGUGAAGUUUCAUUUUUGUCUCGUCUUUUAUACUGAGGAUCAUCGUACCGUAAGAAGAAAUGUCUGGACGCGGAAAGGGUGGCUAGGGCUGGCGAAGGAAGGUGCCGAACGUGAACGAUUCGCAGUCUUCCCACACAUAUGACAAGAAAUGACUGAACGUGGAAAGCAAUGAACAGAGUUGGAUAAUGGACGUGUAAAGCGUCACCGUUACUGAAAGUGAUUCGUGACAACGUCCGGUGCAUCACCAAGGCACGAGUCUUUCCGAGACACAGACAAGCAAGGCCUGCCGGGAAAAUGUGGGCAAAGGAGGUGCCAGGCAUCCGAGGAGACAGUGGUCCUGGCGGAAGCCGUCUUGGUGCCACUUCCCAAAGUUGGAUUCGUUGAAAGUCGUCUUCAUCAGCUUCUUGAGAAGACAUUUCAUAACUGGAUGUUUAGAGGACAGUCCGUAUGUCAAUCAUCUCUACAAGACCUGAUCAGUCUUUCACGGACAUAUGACAAGAAAUGCCUGGACUUGCUAAGGGCGAAGGAGCUGGGAAUGGAGGCUUCAGGUGCUACCAUCACUGACGGUGCUUCGUGGCAACAUCCAGUUCAUCACGAAGCCAAGGAGUCAUUCAGUCUCUCCAAGGCUCCUUUUGCACGCAGGGCUUCAGUCCGUUUCUGUGUUAUACAGGCCCAAUGUGUGACUGGUUUGGUUUCUGUGGCUGUGUCGAUGGUCGGCAUUGUUUUUAGCGUUACUCUAAAUUCUGUUUUUUUAGAAAACAGGAACUUUCCUGGUUCACCAUCUGGUGUCAUAUCUGUUUUAUGUCGUGGUCAGUGGUUGUCGGGGACCUAGACCAUUACAUAAUCUGCCUCGUGUCGUUAUCUUGGGUCCCGAACCAAGAGAACGACACAGGCCAGAAAUGAAGACAGGUGGUUGAAGAGCCUAUUUGAUAUUAGUAGUUUAGUCCUUUAGACACACUAUACUUUUUGGUGUCGACACAGUCACAGAAACCGAAUCAUUGCAGACAGAAUGCAAAGUGUACAUUAUGUAUAUCAAGAUGUUAGAUUCAUGUAGUUAAGCUUGCCUAUUCCCAUAUUUUUGAGUCAAGCUUCAUGUUGGUCUCGUAUUGCAAAGAGGUUUGGAGAUGCUGAGCUGUGUAGACAUGCGUCUUUUGUAAGCAGUCUUUGUUUUGAAUAUAUCAUAUCAUGCCAUUCCAGUACAGGGUGACUGUCUUUUGUUGUCACUUAGCCUUUGUGUUAAAAAUGCAUUUCAAUUGUAUUAUUGUAAUUCAGUAGAUCGAUUAAUAUUGCCCGUUUAUUGAUGAGUAUAGGUUGUUUGUAGCCUUUUAAAUCAGUCAUUUGGAAAAAUCCCUACCUAAGGCUUAGGCUGACGCUGAUACUAACACAAAGACACAGACACGCACACACACUAACAAACUAACCCUUCCAAACACACACUAACAUACUGAUGCAACAUCUUUUUGUCGAACACUAAUAAUCAGCUCUGCCUAAGCCUUAGACUACAAAAUAACUUUCUAAUCUUCGUCAAGUACAAAGGCGCCAAGCUACCUCUAUACCAUGUAAUGACAAUGUUACAUUUACUGAUCUGAUUUUGGCUCUGUUGGCCACCGUGUCCUAGAGUAAGGGUAAUUGUUAAUCUAUGUAUGGAAGAUGUUAAGAUUUCAGUUCAAUUUUUAAAGUUUUAUAUAGUGCUUGUGUAUUUUUCUCAAUUCAUUGUGUGUUUUUUAGAUUUGCACACAUAUGUUUUCAUAUAUCUAUUUUGUCAAUAAUUGCUAUCAAAUAAACAGUUUGAAAUCAAA